CUGUUUAAAAAGAGAUUAGAAACUUUGGCACAAAUGCUGCACUGCAAACCCUCAGCCACUUUCACUGGUGGAUGCAUAACUUCUCUGACCUUCUGCAGUGUCAGGGCUGCCUUCUAGCUCCAGGUCUGCAUCUUUAACCUUUGUAGUUCUGCUGAAUCUUUCAUCAAUCUGUGUUACAGUCACCUUGGGAAGGAAAAACAGAAGCACUCAGUCAGCACUUACAGGACCUCUCCCUCUAUGUUGUUUCUGACAUAUUCAGCUGAUGAGGACUGAAUGAUACCAUGAUUCACACUGGACGUUUUAAUACUUGUCAGAUCAGGAGGAAAAACAUCUGUUAUGCAGAGUUUACUUUAGAAGAACAUUAUACUAAAGCCUUCAUUUGUAAGUGACAAUAGCGGCCUGACAAAUUGUGAAAUAUCGAUGCAAGUUUUUCUCAUUCAUCAGGAUCACACCAUUCAUUUUUGCCUAUUUCAAAAUGUGACUGUCAAUUGAUACAUUUAUUAAUUUGGCUUUUCUUUUACCUGACCCAUCCUAGAAAGUGAAAUUGUGAAAUGACUAUUAAAACCUCUGUGAUUCACGUUAGAUACUUUGAGAGUUUCAUUGUGAUCAUUAAAUCUAAAACCAAAUGUAAAAGAACAUAUAGGAAUAUUAAAAAAAUAGGGUUUUUUUUAUUUAACAACGAUAUUUUUUGGAACAUUUUGCAACUAUAUUGUCCAAAAUGAUAGCUUUGAAAACUGACAUUCUAGUCUUGUUUUUUUAAUCAGUAGUUUUUCUUGUGUGUGUUCCUAAAAGGUUUUUCUCCCCACUUAUUUAAAGAAAGUUUGGUUUGCCAAGGCAAGUUCAGGAUGGCCACACAUAAAUAUUUGGUUCUUCUUCUGAUUUUGGACAUAUCUGGAUGAAAUUAGUUUUGGUCUCAUUUUUCUUGUCUCAGUGAGUAUACCUGAAACUCCAAAGGA
This is a long non-coding RNA of Chiroxiphia lanceolata (lance-tailed manakin), 956 nucleotides long. RefSeq lists it as uncharacterized. NCBI's taxonomy places the organism in Eukaryota, Metazoa, Chordata, Aves, Passeriformes, Pipridae. The record is from RefSeq and is a predicted model, not a curated record. The transcript is spliced from 3 exons.